CAGCCGCCACGGUAAUACGAAGGGUGCAAGCGUUAAUCGGAAUUACUGGGCGUAAAGGGUGCGUAGGCGGUUGUUUAAGUCAGAUGUGAAAUCCCCGGGCUCAACCUGGGAACUGCAUUUGAGACUGUAUGGCUAGAGUGUGUCAGAGGAUGGUGGAAUUCCCGGUGUAGCGGUGAAAUGCGUAGAGAUCGGGAGGAACAUCAGUGGCGAAGGCGGCCAUCUGGGACAACACUGACGCUGAAGCACGAAAGCGUGGGGAGCAAACAGGAUUAGAUACCCCCGUAGUCCCUGUCUCUUAUAC
Molecule: ribosomal RNA, 301 nt
Filed under: uncultured bacterium
Lineage: Bacteria
Description: partial 16S ribosomal RNA
Rfam family: Bacterial small subunit ribosomal RNA
Source: RNAcentral